UACGAAGGGGGCUAGCGUUGCUCGGAAUCACUGGGCGUAAAGGGUGCGUAGGCGGGUCUUUAAGUCAGGGGUGAAAUCCUGGAGCUCAACUCCAGAACUGCCCUUGAUACUGAAGGUCUUGAGUUCGGGAGAGGUGAGUGGAACUGCGAGUGUAGAGGUGAAAUUCGUAGAUAUUCGCAAGAACACCAGUGGCGAAGGCGGCUCACUGGCCCGGUACUGACGCUGAGGUGCGAAAGCGUGGGGAGCAAACAGG
Molecule: ribosomal RNA, 253 nt
Filed under: uncultured bacterium
Lineage: Bacteria
Description: partial 16S ribosomal RNA
Rfam family: Bacterial small subunit ribosomal RNA
Source: RNAcentral